Molecule: small nucleolar RNA, 129 nt
Filed under: Olea europaea subsp. europaea
Lineage: Eukaryota; Viridiplantae; Streptophyta; Magnoliopsida; Lamiales; Oleaceae
Description: Small nucleolar RNA snoR74
Rfam family: Small nucleolar RNA snoR74
Source: Rfam by way of RNAcentral
AAAAAAGCAGGGAUCUGUUACCUUUUGUGAACUGGUCUCUUGUAAACUUCAGGGAUAGAAAUUUGCAAUGUUAUUGGGUGAACCUCUUGAUUUUCAAUGAUUGAUGGUUCAGUAAACAAUGUGACAUGA